Long non-coding RNA from Nicotiana attenuata, 939 nucleotides. RefSeq lists it as uncharacterized. Lineage: Eukaryota; Viridiplantae; Streptophyta; Magnoliopsida; Solanales; Solanaceae. The record is from RefSeq and is a predicted model, not a curated record. The transcript has 3 exons.
UUUUUGAGAUGAUCAGAGAUUACGGACGAGCAGCUUCAGAUCUUCAGCGACUUGUGUCCCUUCUGACAAGGCAUAUGGAAAAUAAAGUUGGUGGAUCUGGAUCACAUAACAAAAUGAGAUUCGGCAAACACAACAAAAGCUUUCGGCAACGGAGGAAGAAGCCAGAAAGGAAAUCCCCUUGAACUUUUACCUCACUUUAUGAGUUUCUUAGUUGUGACUCAAGUUAUUGAACUCUUUCUUUUACCUUUAAUGACAUGCAAUAGAAGCAGACAUGGCAUGUUAAAAAUUACAAGAUAUUAAGGUUUUGUUUCUCUAGCUUACAUCUAUAAAACGAAUCGAGAGAGUAUUUAUUUGUGGAAAUAAUAUGCAUACAGGUGUAUUUUUUUGUAGUAAGCAAUUUGUUUUUCUAACGAUGACAGGGGAGUUGAUUCAUCUCCUGGUGCAUCAGAAAUUAGGAAAGCCUAUAGAAAAGCUGCGCUCAAGCAUCACCCUGAUAAGGCUGGGCAAUCACUGGCUAGAAAUGACAAUGCGGAUGAUGGACUGUGGAAAGACAUAGCAGAACAAGUCCACAGAGAUGCCGACAAGCUCUUUAAGAUGAUAAGCGAGGCCUAUGCAGUGCUUUCGGACUCUGCAAAGGUUUAAAUCCCAGCUGAGACAAAAGACACCAGGUGACUCGUCCCAUCUGUCCAAGCCUUGGUGAAGAGUUACCUGGUACUUGUUGCAGGCAGAGGUAGCAGGUAUCUCCAUAGAAUUAGUCAAGGUGCGGACAAGCUGCCCGGACACAACGAUUAUAAAAAAAGAAAUUGUUACCGACAUCAAAGAAAGUGUAGCAUGUAAAAUGGCCAAUUUGUUGCUAGUCUUUCUUUCCCUAUCCCGGUCUCUGGUAUUUUAUGUUGGCAUGGAAUUAGGGGCUCGCAGCAAGUUUAUGUGCCAAACGGC